AGAAUCAACGCUGGCGGCGUGCCUAACACAUGCAAGUCGAACGAGAAAGUGGAGCAAUCCAUGAGUAAAGUGGCGCACGGGUGAGUAACACGUGACUAACCUACCCUUGAGUGGGGAUAACCUAGGGAAACCUGGGCUAAUACCGCAUAAUACCUUCGGGUCAAAGCAGCAAUGCGCUUGGAGAGGAGUUCGCGGCCGAUUAGUUAGUUGGCGGGUAAUGGCCCACAAGACGAUGAUCGGUAUCC
Molecule: ribosomal RNA, 245 nt
Filed under: uncultured bacterium
Lineage: Bacteria
Description: partial small subunit ribosomal RNA
Rfam family: Bacterial small subunit ribosomal RNA
Source: RNAcentral